This 405-nucleotide ribosomal RNA is filed under the name uncultured bacterium. RNAcentral's name for it is "bacterial SSU rRNA". It matches the Rfam family "Bacterial small subunit ribosomal RNA", at positions 355 to 776 of the family's 1533-position model. The record is from RNAcentral.
UGAGGGAUAUUGGGCAAUGGGCGCAAGCCUGACCCAGCGACGCCGCGUGGAGGAGAAGGGCUUCGGCUCGUAAACUCCUUUUCCCAGGGACGAGAACAGGACGGUACCUGGGGAAUAAGUCUCGGCUAACUACGUGCCAGCAGCCGCGGUAAUACGUAGGAGGCAAGCGUUAUCCGGAAUUACUGGGCGUAAAGGGCGUCUAGGUGGACGCCCAAGCGGGGUGUGAAAGCUCCUGGCUUAACUGGGAGAGUGCGCUCCGAACUGGGCGACUAGAGGGCAGGCGACGGAGGUGGAAUACCCGGUGGAGUGGUGAAAUGCGUAGAGAUCGGGUGGAACACCAGUGGCGAAGGCGGCCUUCGAGCCUGUGCCUGACACUGAAGCGCGAGAGCGUGGGGAGCAAACGGG